AGUCGAGGGGUAUGGUUCUUCGGAACCAGAGACCGGCGCACGGGUGCGUAACGCGUAUGCAAUCUACCUUUUACAGAGGGAUAGCCCAGAGAAAUUUGGAUUAAUACCUCAUAGUAUUAUUGAAUGGCAUCAUUUAAUAAUUAAAGUCACAACGGUAAAAGAUGAGCAUGCGUCCCAUUAGCUUGUUGGUAAGGUAACGGCUUACCAAGGCAACGAUGGGUAGGGGUCCUGAGAGGGAGAUCCCCCACACUGGUACUGAGACACGGACCAGACUCCUACGGGAGGCAGCAGUGAGGAAUAUUGGUCAAUGGGCGCAAGCCUGAACCAGCCAUGCCGCGUGCAGGAUGAAGCAUCUAUGGUGUGUAAACUGCUUUUGUACGAGAAGAAACACUCCUACGUGUAGGAGCUUGACGGUAUCGUAAGAAUAAGGACCGGCUAACUCCGUGCCAGCAGCCGCGGUAAUACGGAGGGUCCAAGCGUUAUCCGGAAUCAUUGGGUUUAAAGGGUCCGUAGGCGGUUUUGUAAGUCAGUGGUGAAAGCCCAUCGCUCAACGGUGGAACGGCCAUUGAUACUGCAAGACUUGAAUUAUUAGGAAGUAACUAGAAUAUGUAGUGUAGCGGUGAAAUGCUUAGAGAUUACAUGGAAUACCAAUUGCGAAGGCAGGUUACUACUAAUAUAUUGA
RNAcentral lists this ribosomal RNA (682 nucleotides) under uncultured Bacteroidota bacterium. RNAcentral's name for it is "bacterial SSU rRNA". It matches the Rfam family "Bacterial small subunit ribosomal RNA", at positions 60 to 743 of the family's 1533-position model. Lineage: Bacteria; Pseudomonadati; Bacteroidota. The record is from RNAcentral.